Molecule: ribosomal RNA, 1041 nt
Filed under: Staphylococcus aureus
Lineage: Bacteria; Bacillati; Bacillota; Bacilli; Caryophanales; Staphylococcaceae
Description: partial 23S ribosomal RNA
Rfam family: Bacterial large subunit ribosomal RNA
Source: RNAcentral
GAAGAGCCCAAACCAACAAGCUUGCUUGUUGGGGUUGUAGGACACUCUAUACGGAGUUACAAAGGACGACAUUAGACGAAUCAUCUGGAAAGAUGAAUCAAAGAAGGUAAUAAUCCUGUAGUCGAAAAUGUUGUCUCUCUUGAGUGGAUCCUGAGUACGACGGAGCACGUGAAAUUCCGUCGGAAUCUGGGAGGACCAUCUCCUAAGGCUAAAUACUCUCUAGUGACCGAUAGUGAACCAGUACCGUGAGGGAAAGGUGAAAAGCACCCCGGAAGGGGAGUGAAAUAGAACCUGAAACCGUGUGCUUACAAGUAGUCAGAGCCCGUUAAUGGGUGAUGGCGUGCCUUUUGUAGAAUGAACCGGCGAGUUACGAUUUGAUGCAAGGUUAAGCAGUAAAUGUGGAGCCGUAGCGAAAGCGAGUCUGAAUAGGGCGUUUAGUAUUUGGUCGUAGACCCGAAACCAGGUGAUCUACCCUUGGUCAGGUUGAAGUUCAGGUAACACUGAAUGGAGGACCGAACCGACUUACGUUGAAAAGUGAGCGGAUGAACUGAGGGUAGCGGAGAAAUUCCAAUCGAACCUGGAGAUAGCUGGUUCUCUCCGAAAUAGCUUUAGGGCUAGCCUCAAGUGAUGAUUAUUGGAGGUAGAGCACUGUUUGGACGAGGGGCCCCUCUCGGGUUACCGAAUUCAGACAAACUCCGAAUGCCAAUUAAUUUAACUUGGGAGUCAGAACAUGGGUGAUAAGGUCCGUGUUCGAAAGGGAAACAGCCCAGACCACCAGCUAAGGUCCCAAAAUAUAUGUUAAGUGGAAAAGGAUGUGGCGUUGCCCAGACAACUAGGAUGUUGGCUUAGAAGCAGCCAUCAUUUAAAGAGUGCGUAAUAGCUCACUAGUCGAGUGACACUGCGCCGAAAAUGUACCGGGGCUAAACAUAUUACCGAAGCUGUGGAUUGUCCUUUGGACAAUGGUAGGAGAGCGUUCUAAGGGCGUUGAAGCAUGAUCGUAAGGACAUGUGGAGCGCUUAGAAGUGAGAAUGCCGGUGUGAG